CUAAACGAAAAUAACUAAUCAGGGGUUCUCCUCCUCGCAUUUUUCUCACAGUGAGUUGGGUUAUGCCUCCACAAAGACACAGCGCUGCGAGCAAGGAGGCCCACGCCGCACAGAAGCCCCGCGGCUUCUGCCAGCAUUUAUCCAUAGUAUGCAGUAACAUCCCCGUGGCUGAGAUAAAUGUGGACAAGGCUACUUACUGUCCUAGUGUUCUAUUGCUGUGAAGAGACUCCAUGACCAUGGCAACUCUUAUAAAGGUAAGCAUUUAACUAGGGCUGGCUUACAGGUUCAGAGGUUUAGUCCAUUACCAUCAUGGCAGGAAGCAUGGCAGCAUGCAGUCUGACAUGGUGCUAUAGAGGUAGCUGAGAGUUCUACAUCUUCAUCCACAGGCAGCAGGAAGGGAGACACACUUGGUCUG
This 415-nucleotide long non-coding RNA is filed under the name Rattus norvegicus (Norway rat). RNAcentral's name for it is "long non-coding RNA NONRATT033121". Lineage: Eukaryota; Metazoa; Chordata; Mammalia; Rodentia; Muridae. The record is from RNAcentral.